UCCGGCUUAUCACCGGCGGUUUCCUUAGAGUGCCCAACUAAAUGGUAGCAACUAAGGACGAGGGUUGCGCUCGUUGCGGGACUUAACCCAACAUCUCACGACACGAGCUGACGACAACCAUGCACCACCUGUGCACGACCCUUGCGGACCCACCAUCUCUGGAGGAUUUCCGUGCAUGUCAAGCCUAGGUAAGGUUCUUCGCGUUGCAUCGAAUUAAGCAACAUGCUCCGCCGCUUGUGCGGGCCCCCGUCAAUUCCUUUGAGUUUCAGCCUUGCGGCCGUACUCCCCAGGCGGGGCACUUACUGCGUUAGCGACGGCACCGGGAGGGUCGCUCCCCCCGACGCCUAGUGCCCAUCGUUUACGGCAUGGACUAC
Molecule: unclassified non-coding RNA, 374 nt
Filed under: uncultured bacterium
Lineage: Bacteria
Description: contains 16S-23S intergenic spacer region
Source: RNAcentral